RNAcentral lists this ribosomal RNA (253 nucleotides) under uncultured bacterium. Its description in RNAcentral is "partial 16S ribosomal RNA". It matches the Rfam family "Bacterial small subunit ribosomal RNA", at positions 524 to 776 of the family's 1533-position model. The record is from RNAcentral.
GACGAACCGAGCGAACGUUGUUCGGAAUCACUGGGGUUAAAGGGCGCGUAGGCGGGUGCUCAAGUCCGGGGUGAAAUCCUCCAGCUCAACUGGAGAACUGCCUCGGAUACUGGGUGCCUCGAGGGUGGUAGGGGUAUGCGGAACUAUCGGUGGAGCGGUGAAAUGCGUUGAUAUCGAUAGGAACUCCGGUGGCGAAGGCGGCAUACUGGACCACUUCUGACGCUGAGGCGCGAAAGCCAGGGGAGCAAACGGG